Molecule: non-coding RNA, 404 nt
Organism: Xyrichtys novacula (pearly razorfish)
Lineage: Eukaryota; Metazoa; Chordata; Actinopteri; Labriformes; Labridae
Source: the annotation of a GenBank genome assembly
GAUUAAUGAGUGUAAGUUAGUGUGUGUGUGUGUGUGUGUGUGAGAGAGAGAGAGAGAGAGAGAGAGAAAGAAUGCCUCAGUGUACCACAAAUUGUGAGUGUGUGAGUUUGCAUACUGUACAAGUCCUUGUGUGUGUGUGCGUGUGUGUUUGAUCCGCGGUUUCUAAACCAAACUUUAUUUUGUGGAUUUUCUUUUUUUCAGGGAUCAUCAAAGUAAGUGAUUCCACAGAAGGCUGGCUUUGCAUCUGGGUCACUCUGAAGAAUUCCCCAACACGACAAGGCUGCCGGGAUGUGAUUGCAAUCAAGUGGACGGUGUCUGCAAAAAUAAAAAAAAAAAGAAAGAAAAGAAAAAGAGAAGAAGAAAUGACCCGAAUGAUCCUGAAUCUGUCUCUGUGACUCUUAAAG